UGCCUGGUGGUGUAAUGGUAGCACAACGGAUUCUGGCUCCGUUUGUCUAGGUUCGAGUCCUGGCCGGGCAGCCA
This 74-nucleotide transfer RNA is filed under the name Puniceicoccales bacterium. RNAcentral's name for it is "tRNA-Gln". It matches the Rfam family "tRNA". From Rfam's summary of the family: Transfer RNA (tRNA) molecules are approximately 80 nucleotides in length. The record is from RNAcentral. Lineage: Bacteria; Pseudomonadati; Verrucomicrobiota; Opitutia; Puniceicoccales.